CGUGUAGGCGGACUCGCAAGUCGGUUGUGAAAUCCCUGGGCUCAACCUAGGAACCGCAUCCGAAACUGCUUGUCUUGAGUAAUGGAGAGGGUGGCGGAAUUCCCGGUGUAGAGGUGAAAUUCGUAGAUAUCGGGAGGAACAUCAGUGGCGAAGGCGGCCACCUGGACAUUUACUGACGCUGAGACGCGAAAGCGUGGGGAGCAAACA
RNAcentral lists this ribosomal RNA (207 nucleotides) under uncultured bacterium. Its description in RNAcentral is "partial 16S ribosomal RNA". It matches the Rfam family "Bacterial small subunit ribosomal RNA", at positions 568 to 774 of the family's 1533-position model. The record is from RNAcentral.